This 584-nucleotide ribosomal RNA is filed under the name uncultured bacterium. Its description in RNAcentral is "bacterial SSU rRNA". It matches the Rfam family "Bacterial small subunit ribosomal RNA", at positions 335 to 918 of the family's 1533-position model. The record is from RNAcentral.
ACUCCUACGGGAGGCAGCAGUGAGGAAUAUUGGACAAUGGAUGGAAAUCUGAUCCAGCCAUGCCGCGUGCAGGAAGACGGCCCUAUGGGUUGUAAACUGCUUUUGUAUGGGAGCAAUAAGGUCUAUGCGUAGACUGAUGAGAGUACCAUACGAAUAAGCAUCGGCUAACUCCGUGCCAGCAGCCGCGGUAAUACGGGGGAUGCAAGCGUUAUCCGGAUUUAUUGGGUUUAAAGGGUGCGUAGGCGGUUUGAUAAGUCAGCGGUGAAAUAUUUCAGCUUAACUGAAAGGGUGCCGUUGAUACUGUCAGGCUUGAAUAUGGUUGCUGUGGGUGGAAUGUGUGGUGUAGCGGUGAAAUGCUUAGAUAUCACACAGAAUAUCGAUUGCGAAGGCAGCUCACAAAGCCAUUAUUGACGCUGAUGCACGAAAGUGUGGGGAUCAAACAGGAUUAGAUACCCUGGUAGUCCACACUGUAAACGAUGAUAACUCGCUGUCGGCGAUACACAGUCGGUAGCCAAGCGAAAGCGAUAAGUUAUCCACCUGGGGAGUACGACCGCAAGGUUGAAACUCAAAGGAAAUUGACGGGG